CAGGUGGCCAAAGUAUUGGAGAUUCAGCAUCAGUCCUUCCAAUGAAUAUUCAGGGUUGAUUUCCUUUAGGAUUGACUGGUUUGAUCUUGCUGUCAAGAGUCUUCUCCAGCACCACAAUUCGAAAGCAUCAAUUCUUUGGCACUCAGCCUUCUUUAUGGUCCAACACUCACAUCUAUACAUGACUACUGGAAAAACCAAAGCUUUGACUAGAUGGACUCCUAACAGCAAAGCUGAUUGAAACUUAUCAGAAACAUCGAUUUGGAUUUAGAAGAAAAAACUAAAGCUCUUAAAGAAGGAACGGGCGUCUUAAGAGAGUUCUCCACCUCUGAAAAUGGUCAAGAAAAACGGUCAGAAGAUUAACACUUAGAGGAGGAUGGAUAAAAAGGUCAGCCUUUAAGACUCAGUAGCAAGAGUACUGGAGUGGGGUGCCAUUGUCUUCUCCGGAGGCCACAUUAUAGCAGGGCUUAAAAAAUCAAGGAGAGAAGUUUGACCUUAAUGUGAAGAGAAGUUUAUAUUUAUUACUUCUAAAAAAUGACUUGAGAAGAAUUAAACUAAAAUGACCCAUGAUCCCUGGGACCAUCCCAUAAAGAUAAAAGAUAAGAGUUAUAGAAAGCAGGGGAGAGAACUCUACCAGAGCCCUAGGCUAAAUCUGGUUAUUAAAACGCCACCAAGUUUAGCUCUGAGUUGCCGGACUGCUUCAGCUCUGAAAAACAAGCCUCUGCAGAAAGCCAAGGAUUAAGUGAUGAAGGAUAGUGGAGUGAGAACCUGGAAACAAAUCUGGAAGAUGACUCAAAGAAGCCUACAAGGGCUUGGCAAGGAAUAGCUG
Bos taurus (domestic cattle) is the source of this 826-nucleotide long non-coding RNA. The record is from Ensembl. NCBI's taxonomy places the organism in Eukaryota, Metazoa, Chordata, Mammalia, Artiodactyla, Bovidae.